Long non-coding RNA from Thalassophryne amazonica, 172 nucleotides. RefSeq lists it as uncharacterized. The transcript has 3 exons. NCBI's taxonomy places the organism in Eukaryota, Metazoa, Chordata, Actinopteri, Batrachoidiformes, Batrachoididae. The record is from RefSeq and is a predicted model, not a curated record.
UACUUUGUUUUCGGACGUCUUCGUAGCUGUUUGUUGGGAAUGAUGUAUACUUUGAAACCAGUGCACAAAGUGAUCCCGGUGGAUCAUCGGAUGGUCACUAACAGACUGAAUCUAAAUUGUUACGAUUUCGGUGCGACGUGUCCUUUAAAGACAUGCAGUCAGCAGACUAAUC